This 513-nucleotide ribosomal RNA is filed under the name uncultured Lactobacillus sp. Its description in RNAcentral is "bacterial SSU rRNA". It matches the Rfam family "Bacterial small subunit ribosomal RNA", at positions 58 to 525 of the family's 1533-position model. Lineage: Bacteria; Bacillati; Bacillota; Bacilli; Lactobacillales; Lactobacillaceae. The record is from RNAcentral.
CGAGUCUGCCUUGAAGAUCGGAGUGCUUGCACUCUGUGAAACAGAUACCAGGCUAGCGCGGACGGUGAGUAACACGUGGGGGUAACCCUGCCCAAGAGAUCGGGGAUAACACCUGGGAAACAGAUAGCUAAUACCGGAUAACAACAGAUGAUGCCUAUCAACUGUUUAAAAGAUGUUCUGCUAUCACUCUUGGGAUGGACCUGCGGUGCAUUAGCUAGUUGGUAGGGGUAACGGGCCUACCAAGGCGAUGAUACAUAGCCCGAGUUGAGAGACUGAUCGGGCCACAUUGGGGACUGAGACACGGGCCCAAACUCCUACGGGAGGCAGCAGUAGGGAAUCUUCCACAAUGGACGCAAGUCUGAUGGAGCAAACGCCGCGUGAGUGAAGAAGGGUUUCGGCUCGUAAAAAGCUCUGUUGUUGGUGAAGAAGGACAGGGGUAGUAACUGACCCUUUGUUUGACGGUAAUCAAUUAGAAAGUCACGGGCUAACUACGUGCCAGCAGCCGCGGUAAAU